This is a long non-coding RNA of Harpegnathos saltator (Jerdon's jumping ant), 273 nucleotides long. RefSeq lists it as uncharacterized. The transcript has 4 exons. NCBI's taxonomy places the organism in Eukaryota, Metazoa, Arthropoda, Insecta, Hymenoptera, Formicidae. The record is from RefSeq and is a predicted model, not a curated record.
UCCUUUGAAUGAUACAGAUUCAGCUUUGAUAUAUAAUAAUACAAGAAAUGUUAUGUUUACUACUGUAAUUGAUUAUACAGAAGCAGAUGCAGAUUCAAAGGUUGUCGGCCCCUUCUUCCUCUUCAUGCGCUAUAUCUGGGCAAUUUUCCAAUUGCUUGUAUAACAGAUAAUAUAGUUUGUAUCUGCGAUAUCUGCCACCGAUGGAGGAUAUUCACAUUCUCACCGAAAACAAGACGAUCAAAGUAAUUCCUGGAUCUGGCAUACAGAACGAAG